AGUGAACGCUGGCGGUAGGCCUAACACAUGCAAGUCGAACGGCAGCACAGUAAGAGCUUGCUCUUACGGGUGGCGAGUGGCGGACGGGUGAGGAAUACAUCGGAAUCUACUUUUUCGUGGGGGAUAACGUAGGGAAACUUACGCUAAUACCGCAUACGACCUACGGGUGAAAGCAGGGGAUCUUCGGACCUUUCGCGAUUGAAUGAGCCGAUGUCGGAUUAGCUAGUUGGCGGGGUAAAGGCCCACCAAGGCGACGAUCCGUAGCUGGUCUGAGAGGAUGGUCAGCCACACUGGAACUGAGACACGGUCCAGACUCCUACGGGAGGCAGCAGUGGGGAAUAUUGGACAAUGGGCGCAAGCCUGAUCCAGCCAUACCGCGUGGGUGAAGAAGGCCUUCGGGUUGUAAGGCCCUUUUGUUGGGAAAGAAAAGCAGCAGGUUAAUACCCCGCUGUUCUGACGGUACCCAAAGAAUAAGCACCGGCUAACUUCGUG
This 492-nucleotide ribosomal RNA is filed under the name uncultured bacterium. Its description in RNAcentral is "partial 16S ribosomal RNA". It matches the Rfam family "Bacterial small subunit ribosomal RNA", at positions 29 to 507 of the family's 1533-position model. The record is from RNAcentral.